Bactrocera latifrons is the source of this 370-nucleotide long non-coding RNA. RefSeq lists it as uncharacterized. The transcript is spliced from 3 exons. NCBI's taxonomy places the organism in Eukaryota, Metazoa, Arthropoda, Insecta, Diptera, Tephritidae. The record is from RefSeq and is a predicted model, not a curated record.
AUAAAACAAAAAAUAGCAGUGUGUUUAACAUAGACAAUGGAAAGGUAUCAUAAAAGAAGUGACCCAAAUGAUUUAGAUAUUGACGAAGUUAGCAGUGACUCCGAAGAAAGCACGUGCCGGCCCAGCACCAGUAAAAGAAAAUAUACCCAAAGAACCAGAAAAAGCUGGUUUAAUGAUCCGAGUGGAUUGUCGAGCUAAAUGAUCAGGAGGUAAAGUGUAAAUACUGCCAUUGUACUUUAAAACCAAAACUAAGUACACUUCGUACUUAAGGAAAAACUUCUAAGCAUUUAGCAGCAGCAUCGAAUUUCACAAAAAACAAUAAAAAAAAAACACUCGAUUUUCACCCACUAAACAGCAAUUCCAAAGUAAA